UAGGGAAUCUUCCACAAUGGACGAAAGUCUGAUGGAGCAACGCCGCGUGAGUGAAGAAGGUUUUCGGAUCGUAAAACUCUGUUGUAAGGGAAGAACACGUACGAGAGUAACUGCUCGUACCUUGACGGUACCUUAUUAGAAAGCCACGGCUAACUACGUGCCAGCAGCCGCGGUAAUACGUAGGUGGCAAGCGUUGUCCGGAAUUAUUGGGCGUAAAGCGCGCGCAGGCGGUCCUUUAAGUCUGAUGUGAAAGCCCACGGCUCAACCGUGGAGGGUCAUUGGAAACUGGGGGACUUGAGUGCAGAAGAGGAAAGCGGAAUUCCACGUGUAGCGGUGAAAUGCGUAGAGAUGUGGAGGAACACCAGUGGCGAAGGCGGCUUUCUGGUCUGUAACUGACGCUGAGGCGCGAAAGCGUGGGGAGCAAACAGGAUUAGAUACCCCUGGUAGUCCACGCCGUAAACGAUGAGUGCUAAGUGUUAGGGGGUUUCCGCCCCUUAGUGCUGCAGCUAACG
Molecule: ribosomal RNA, 512 nt
Filed under: uncultured Bacillota bacterium
Lineage: Bacteria; Bacillati; Bacillota
Description: bacterial SSU rRNA
Rfam family: Bacterial small subunit ribosomal RNA
Source: RNAcentral